GUACAGCGGAACUGAGGAGUGGCUACGAUUGUAAAAUCAGAGGGAGGGUUACUUUCGACGCAGACUGCUGUGAUAUCUUUAGAUCUAGAACAGUUUGAACUUGUAGUCAGCCAAACAUCAACCACAAUAGUUUUGGCUAGAGGUGAUGCUGGGGGUGGCUGAAAUGACGGGCAGCAAUAUGGCGAACGCCCUGGCCAACGCGGCAUGCGAGCGCUGCAAGAGUGGCUUCGCCCCGGCCGAGAAGAUCGUCAACAGCAACGGAGAACUUUACCACGAGCAGUGCUUCGUCUGCGCCCAAUGCUUCCAGCAAUUUCCUGAAGGACUCUUCUAUGAGUUUGAAGGCAGGAAGUAUUGUGAGCAUGACUUUCAGAUGCUCUUCGCUCCCUGCUGCCACCAGUGUGGAGAGUUCAUUAUUGGCCGAGUGAUUAAAGCCAUGAACAACAGCUGGCAUCCAGACUGUUUCUGCUGUGACAUCUGCAAAGUAGUCCUGGCAGACGUUGGAUUCGUCAAGAACGCCGGCAGGCACCUGUGUCGCCCAUGCCAUAACCGGGAGAAGGCUCGCGGCCUGGGCAAGUACAUCUGCCAGAAGUGCCACGCCAUCAUCGAGGAGCACCCUUUGAUCUUCAAGAACGACCCCUACCACCCCGACCACUUCAACUGCAACAACUGUGGGAAGGAGCUGACUUCUGAUGCCAGGGAGCUGAAGGGCCAGCUCUACUGCCUGCCGUGCCACGACAAGAUGGGGGUGCCCAUCUGCGGAGCCUGCAGGAGGCCCAUAGAGGGCCGCGUGGUCAACGCAAUGGGCAAGCAGUGGCACGUGGAGCAUUUUGUGUGUGCUAAGUGUGAGAAGCCGUUCCUUGGCCAUCGCCACUAUGAGAGGAAAGGUCUGGCAUACUGCGAGACCCACUACAACCAGCUGUUUGGAGACGUGUGCUACCACUGCAACCGUGUGAUCGAAGGAGAUGUGGUCUCAGCCCUGAACAAGGCCUGGUGUGUCAACUGCUUCUCCUGCUCCACCUGCAACACCAAACUCACCCUCAAGGCUAAGUUUGUGGAGAUCGAUCUGAAGCCUGUGUGCAGGAUGUGCUACGAGCGCAUGCCAGAGGAACUGAAACGCCGCCUGGCCAGACGCGAGCGGGAUGCCAAAGACCGCCGAAAGAAACCCACCAUCUGUCUGUAGAAUUCCUCCUCUUCUUCCUCCUCAUCCUCACGUCACUCUCUCACUGCUUCUCUUCAUCCAUUGGAACAAGUUUGUGGAGUUUGACAUGAAGCCUGUUUGUAAGAAGUGUUACGAGAAGUUUCCUCUGGAGCUGAAGAAGAGAUUGAAAAAGCUUGCGGAGACUCUUGGACGCAAGUAGUGCCUGACUGUACCUCAGGGCUCCAAGGAAGGUUUAUCUAGGAAGCCAAGCUCCAAUCUUAACAAGUGCCCAAAAUAAGCCAAAUACUUAUUCUUUUUCAGUCUAACAUGGUAUUAAUGUAAUGUAUUCUGUCGAUUUACCAUGUGUAGAUUUUGGAUUGAGGAAACACCACUGCUUUUUUAGUAUUUUUUAUUUUUUUUUCUCUUUUCUGGGCUCAACAUAAUUCACUAUGUUAUCAAGUUUACACUGGCCAGAUCCAUGUCGGUUGCAAUGAUUUCUGUCUUUUAAAAGUCAGACGUGUCUUAAGUCAUUUGACCUGGUCACUUUACACGUUAUUUCAUACGUGAUCAUCGUAAAAAAGGAGAAAGUAAACAAUACAGACUUGAGUGACGUAAAAGUUUGUCUAAAUAGGCUAUGUUUCAUGAAAUGCUAACCUUUUACUUUUGUCUUGAAUAUACCUGAAUGUCCUCAGUAAUUUUCUUCUAUACUUUUUCUCUGUGCCUUGGAUAAAUAUAUAAAUGUUUGUAUGUAAUAUGCAAGUAAAAAAUAUACGUCUUUCAAUUAUACCAGUAAGUCCUUGUAUCUAAGAGUAACAAUAUAUGCCUUGAGAAAGAUAGAGAAAGGGCUGUGAAUCUUUAACUUUAUUCAGCUGAACUGCAGCCUCGCCAACUAGUAUGGUACAGCAAUACUUUCCUUUAGCAUAUUAUUUUGGAUCCUUGUUUUAAUCAAAUAAUUGCCUAGUGUGAUCUAUGGGAGUUUAAAGGAGAGUAUUUUACUUCAGACAACGCUGUGAUAUGCAAUCAUAUAAAGUUAGCUUACUAUGUGUGUCAUCUGUUUGUAUGAGAACAGCAAGUUUCACUAGCGAAUAGCAUUGCAUGUUUUUGAUAAUAGUAUUAUUUUUGCAAAGGCUCAUAAUAAAAGUAUCUUAAUUAAGGAUGAUU
Molecule: RNA transcript, 2299 nt
Organism: Osmerus eperlanus (European smelt)
Lineage: Eukaryota; Metazoa; Chordata; Actinopteri; Osmeriformes; Osmeridae
Gene name: LIM and senescent cell antigen-like-containing domain protein 1
Exons: 11
Source: RefSeq, a predicted model, not a curated record